UAGUCCACGCCGUAAACGAUCAUCACUCGCUGUUGGCGAUACACAGUCAGCGGCCAAGCGAAAGCAUUAAGUGAUGCACCUGGGGAGUACGAUCGCAAGAUUGAAACUCAAAGGAAUUGACGGGGGCCCGCACAAGCGGUGGAGCAUGUGGUUUAAUUCGAUGAUACGCGAGGAACCUUACCAGGGCUUAAAUGUAGAUUGACAGGAUGGGAAACCAUUUUUUCUUCGGACAAUUUACAAGGUGCUGCAUGGUUGUCGUCAGCUCGUGCCGUGAGGUGUCAGGUUAAGUCCUAUAACGAGCGCAACCCCUAUCUUUAGUUGCCAGCGGUUCGGCCGGGGACUCUAAAGAAACUGCCAGCGCAAGCUGUGAGGAAGGUGGGGAUGACGUCAAAUCAUCACGGCCCUUACGUCCUGGGCUACACACGUGCUACAAUGGUAACGACAGAGGGCAGCCACUUGGCGACAAGGAGCGAAUCCCAAAACGUUAUCUCAGUUCGGAUUGG
RNAcentral lists this ribosomal RNA (503 nucleotides) under uncultured bacterium. Its description in RNAcentral is "bacterial SSU rRNA". It matches the Rfam family "Bacterial small subunit ribosomal RNA", at positions 791 to 1301 of the family's 1533-position model. The record is from RNAcentral.